This is a long non-coding RNA of Strongylocentrotus purpuratus (purple sea urchin), 612 nucleotides long. RefSeq lists it as uncharacterized. The record is from RefSeq and is a predicted model, not a curated record. The transcript has 4 exons. Lineage: Eukaryota; Metazoa; Echinodermata; Echinoidea; Camarodonta; Strongylocentrotidae.
AUGACGUUAAUUGAUUUGUUCAAUUUUACAUGAAUGCGGUGACUUGUCGGUAACGAGCAGAUGGUCAUGACAGGCUUCGAUAUUCUAUAAAACUAGAAACUAUCUAGACAGUACUUCAACAGAAAGCUGGAUAGAGACAAUUCGUCACAUCAAGCUACGAGAAAGCAUAUCAUCAUUUCAACGAAUCAUACUCGGACACUGCAUCAAAAUCAGACUUUGAAAAUGGCGUCAAAAACCAUGAUUGCUCUCUACUUUCUGAUUGUCUUGGCUGUGGCAGCAAGUGUUUUAGUUGAGGAAGAUGCGAUCGACAAUUCCGAUGCCUUGGAUGUCGAGGAGAACGGCGACAAAAGAAGAAAGAACAAACCAAUAGUUGCAUGUGUAUAUUAUGGUCAAUCGUGUACCUGCCAGGGAAAAAGAGUACUAACGUGUGAUGGGCGGUAGCAACAGUAGCACUGAGAAGUUCGGGAAGCAGGCUAGCUGGAUAUUCUCCAUGUGGUCAGACGACUUCUCCGUUUGUUGAGACUUUUGUGAAAUAAAUGCAAAAAAAACCCCAUUAGUAAUCAGUCAACACUGACCUUAACCCUAACCCAAACGAAUUUAUUACCCUGCCUU